CUUUGUUUUAACUUUCAUCUGUGCUAAGUAACUUUAGCUCGUAAGCUAACCCGUUCAGAUACAACAUACCAUAUGUAUUUUCACUGUCUUAAACUCAAUCACGUUGCUGUCACAGCACCAUUAGGUCUCGGUUGUUACCUUACGUUUAUGGAUUAUAGUUUAAUGUUCUUAUCUGGUACUGGCCCUGACUCAGUACAUGCUAUCAUGACAGACAGACAUCUCAACACUAGUGUCUAAUCAGAACUGAAAAACAGUCAGUCUGCUGUUGUGUCAGUCUUCUCGCCUCCAUCCGGGACACGUGUUUUUUUCCCCC
This is a non-coding RNA of Xyrichtys novacula (pearly razorfish), 313 nucleotides long. Lineage: Eukaryota; Metazoa; Chordata; Actinopteri; Labriformes; Labridae. The record is from the annotation of a GenBank genome assembly.